CCUACGGGAGGCAGCAGUAGGGAAUCUUGCGCAAUGGGCGAAAGCCUGACGCAGCCAUGCCGCGUGAAUGAUGAAGGUCUUAGGAUUGUAAAAUUCUUUCACCGGGGAAGAUAAUGACGGUACCCGGAGAAGAAGCCCCGGCUAACUUCGUGCCAGCAGCCGCGGUAAUACGAAGGGGGCUAGCGUUGCUCGGAAUUACUGGGCGUAAAGGGCGCGUAGGCGGAUAGUUUAGUCAGAGGUGAAAGCCCAGGGCUCAACCUUGGAAUUGCCUUUGAUACUGGCUAUCUUGAGUUCGGGAGAGGUGAGUGGAAUGCCGAGUGUAGAGGUGAAAUUCGUAGAUAUUCGGCGGAACACCAGUGGCGAAGGCGACUCACUGGCCCGAUACUGACGCUGAGGCGCGAAAGCGUGGGGAGCAAACAGGAUUAGAUACCCUGGUAGUCCACGCUGUAAACGAUGAGUGCUAGUUGUCGGCAUGCAUGCAUGUCGGUGACGCAGCUAACGCAUUAAGCACUCCGCCUGGGGAGUACGGUCGCAAGAUUAAAACUCAAAAUGAAUUGACGG
Molecule: ribosomal RNA, 561 nt
Filed under: uncultured bacterium
Lineage: Bacteria
Description: bacterial SSU rRNA
Rfam family: Bacterial small subunit ribosomal RNA
Source: RNAcentral